CCCCCAGGAACAUGAAGGGGAGAUGCGUUAGUCUGCGGCACCGACGACGUGGAAUGUCGCCAACACCUAGUUCCCAACGUUUACGGCGUGGACUACCAGGGUAUCUAAUCCUGUUCGCUCCCCACGCUUUCGCUCCUCAGCGUCAGUAAUGGCCCAGAGAUCCGCCUUCGCCACCGGUGUUCCUCCUGAUAUCUGCGCAUUUCACCGCUACACCAGGAAUUCCGAUCUCCCCUACCACACUCUAGCUAGCCCGUAUCGAAUGCAGACCCGGGGUUAAGCCCCGGGCUUUCACAUCCGACGUGACAAGCCGCCUACGAGCUCUUUACGCCCAAUAAUUCCGGACAACGCUUGCGCCCUACGUAUUACCGCGGCUGCUGGCACGUAGUUAGCCGGCGCUUCUUCUGCAGGUACCGUCACUCUCGCUUCUUCCCUGCUGAAAGAGGUCUACAACCCGAAGGCCGUCAUCCCUCACGCGGCGUCGCUGCAUCAGGCUUUCGCCCAUUGUGCAAUAUUCCCCACUGCUGCCUCCCGUAGGAGUCUGGGCCGUGUCUCAGUCCCAGUGUGGCCGGUCGCCCUCUCAGGCCGGCUACCCGUCGUCGCCUUGGUAGGCCAUUACCCCACCAACAAGCUGAUAGGCCGCGGGCUCAUUCUUCACCGCCGGAGCUUUUAACCCCCACCCAUGCAGGCAGAAGUAUUAUU
Molecule: ribosomal RNA, 699 nt
Filed under: Streptomyces ornatus
Lineage: Bacteria; Bacillati; Actinomycetota; Actinomycetes; Kitasatosporales; Streptomycetaceae
Description: partial 16S ribosomal RNA
Source: RNAcentral